CAAUAGCGUAUAUUUAAGUUGUUGCAGUUAAAAAGCUCGUAGUUGGAUUUCGGAUGGGAUUUGCCGGUCCGUCGUUACGAUGUGCACUGGCCAGUCCUAUCUUGUUGUCGGGGACUAGCUCCUUGGAUUCACUUCCUGGGACUAGGAGCUGACGAGGUUACUUUGAGUAAAUUAGAGUGUUCAAAGCAAGCCUACGCUCUGAAUACAUUAGCAUGGAAUAACACGAUAGGACUCUGGCUUAUCUUGUUGGUCUGUGAGACCAGAGUAAUGAUUAAGAGGGACAGUCGGGGACAUUCGUAUUUCAUUGUCAGAGGUGAAAUUCUUGGAUUUAUUAAAGACUAACAUCUGCGAAAGCAUUUGCCAAGGAUGUUUUCAUUAA
Molecule: ribosomal RNA, 379 nt
Filed under: uncultured eukaryote
Lineage: Eukaryota
Description: partial 18S ribosomal RNA
Rfam family: Eukaryotic small subunit ribosomal RNA
Source: RNAcentral